GACGAACGCUGGCGGCGUGCUUAACACAUGCAAGUCGAACGGAAAGGCCCUGCUUUUGUGGGGUGCUCGAGUGGCGAACGGGUGAGUAACACGUGAGUAACCUGCCCUUGACUUUGGGAUAACUUCAGGAAACUGGGGCUAAUACCGGAUAGGAGCCCCUGCUGCAUGGAGGGGGUUGGAAAGUUUCGGCGGGUGGGGAUGGACUCGCGGCUUAUCAGCUUGUUGGUGGGGUAGUGGCUUACCAAGGCUUUGACGGGUAGCCGGCCCGAGAGGGUGACCGGCCACCUUGGGACUGAGAUACGGCCCAGACUCCUACGGGAGGCAGCAGUGGGGAAUAUUGCACAAUGGGCGGAAGCCUGAUGCAGCAACGCCGCGUGCGGGAUGACGGCCUUCGGGUUGUAAACCGCUUUCGCCUGUGACGAAGCGUGAGUGACGGUAAUGGGUAAAGAAGCACCGGCUAACUACGUG
RNAcentral lists this ribosomal RNA (468 nucleotides) under uncultured bacterium. RNAcentral's name for it is "partial 16S ribosomal RNA". It matches the Rfam family "Bacterial small subunit ribosomal RNA", at positions 28 to 507 of the family's 1533-position model. The record is from RNAcentral.